GGAUAUUUUAAUAAACCAGUAAUAUUGCAACAGAAAUGAUAAAACAUAUCAAAAUAUAUAAUAUUGAAUGUCAAGUGAAUUAGUAUAAAGGUCAAUUGAGUAAUACAUAGCAAUCGGAAGUACAUCUCAAUUAAUUUACAUUGAAUACAAUAGGAUUUUCAUAAUGGUGAAAUAUUUAAGAGGGGUAUAAUUUCUGUGCUUAUUUCAGAAUAAAUAUAAAUUUGUUAGCAUAUAAAUAACUCUUAAAUUAGAUCUUUUGGUCAGAAUAAGUAUUAGAAAAUGGCAACAAUAAAACAUUGCCAAUUUGCAUCUAAUGUAUAAAUUUAAACUUCAUGAAAUUUAUUUUAGUAGUACAUUAAAGUUGAUAUUUCAAUUUUCUGGUAACUCAUAAGAAUAAUCAAAACUGAAAAUACUUAUCUGCUUAUUUGUCAGAGAUGAAGAUAUUUUCAGCUCACUAUUUUUCAAUAAAUAUUCAUUUUUAUUUCAUGUUUUUUAAUUUCAAACAUCUUUUUAAUCAAUAAAGUUCCUAUAAUUUCUUUCAACAAAUCUGACAAAAUUUUCUCCCAAAUAUCAUAAACAAUAUUAUAUUAAGCUAAUUUGAAGGCAGAAUGUUUCGAUUUGAAGCUAUUUACCAAAUACAUGUACAUAGUAUAAUCUAAUGAGUAUUUGGAAGCAUUAUAAAAUUUGUAUUUAACUCCUGAUUCAUUUAGGGGGUCUCUUCCAAUAUAAAGGUAUACACAGACAUGUGGCUGGUAUGGGUCACAUGUUCAGAAUGCCAAAUAAUUCAAACAUAUCAAUGGGGUGCAAAUUCACGAAGGUAAUAUAACAAUGGGUAGAAAAGUUUAUGUCAAUGGGUUUUAUUCAUCUUCUAUUGAGAUGUCUGUUAACCUCCAUCACUCUAUAUCAGUCAGUACCCCAAAUUUGAGUGUUGAGACCCCCCCCUUUGUGUCAUGAUCGAAUAUCGUAUUAAAAAAAUAUUUUAUAAAUGAUACAUAUCAGAAAAAGAAAGGUACACAAAUCCAAACUUUUAAUGCAAAUUGUAUAAAAUAUAAAUUAUCAAUACUUUAAAAUACAUGUAUAACAUUUCUAUUGACUGUAGAUGCUAUUUUUAAAACAUGUAUCAUCAUUAUACAUAUAAGAUGAAAUCCAGUGGCGGAUCAAGUAGGGGACCUGGGGGUUGGAGCCCCUUUUUUUUGGAUGAUCAAUGCAUUUGUAUGGGGAUAUAUAGUUUGAACCUCCCCCCUUUUUAAAUGGCUGGAUCCGCCCCUGAAAUCUAUCUGCCAUAUUGUUAAUAUUACCACAUUAAAAAUUAUAACAUAUUAAAGGUUAAACUUUCAGGCCAUUCAAAUUAAUGUUCUGUUGACAAAACUGUAACAUUAAGUAUUUUAAGAUAACAAAACUGAAAUUUCUUGCCUGUUUAAUUUAUCAUAACUGAGUAACAUGUGACAGUCUUUCAGAUAAAAGUCUUAUCACAUAUAAAGAAACAGAACUUUUUAUCAAAGAGCCAUAAAGUAAGUUCAAGGUCAGUUAAUUCAUGACAAAGACAUGAAUAUAGAGAUGGGAUAUAUGUCGAUGACACAGCAUCAAAAGGACAUUAAUACCUUAAAAGAUACAUAAAGAGCAAUUUGCAUGCUGCAAAAAAAAAAGAGACAGAUGUCUAUUCAAUAUGACAAGCUGGCAAUCACCAAGGUUUUGUAAACAAUUUGAAUAAUUGAACAGAAAUUAUGAAAGAUAUGCCUUCAAUACCAAAUUCUCCAAAAUAAAAACAAAAAAAGCCGACCAUUGAAGAGUUUCAUGACUUAGGAGAUUUUUUUUUCAGGUCACACAAGUUUUUGAGAUUUUAACUCCCCUUUUAAUAUCAAUUACUGGACUGUAAAGAAUAACCUGAAAAAUCAUACACUAUAAAUCAGGAAAAGAAAAGUACUCAACUUUCGAAUAACAGCAUUAAAGUUAACAAAACACAUGAAAACCUAAAAUUGAUUCUAUAGACCAUAUAGUUUGCCUAACAAUCAAGGUAGGUAAGAAAAAUUAAACUUUGAACCAUGAAUAAUGAGGUCAAGGUCAAGUCACCUCUAUUAGAGGAACAGUGUUCAUAUGGACUAGUUGACCUACUACUCAUUACAGUGUGAAACUGAUUGACGAUAUAAAUACUUAAUGCUGAUAAUUUAACCAAGAAAAGAUGUCAUGAAUCAAGUGUGUUCUCCCUGCCAGAAAGAAAGGCACACCUUACAACUAUGUUAUUGACCAUAUCACUUUUGGUGACAGAGAUAAGGACAUUAGCGCAGAUGUUAAAUUAUUGAGAUGCUAAAUUAUUGUAUCCUAUUUAAAAAAAAAAAUCAUGGUUAUCGAGUUAAUUAAUGUUAAUGUAAUUCAAAAUGUUUUUAUCAAAAUUAUAAUCUUCCAACACAACAAUAACCUGAUUUGAUUUAUAUAGAGGGACAAAAUCAUUAUUACCAAAUCAUGAGAAUUUGAAAAUAAGAAAAGUCAGAAAACAGAACCUUUAUUUUGAAAGGACCAAUACAGCACUAUUUUUUUUUGGUUUAAAUAUUUACAAAAUAACAUACAUAUACGUGCGGGCUGCCAGAAAAAAAAUAUGUGGGGUCUUUGAAGGUACUUGCAUAUAGACUUGAAUGAGUCAUUGAAUCUAGAUUGCAUGGGGCUUCUGAAGAAACCUUCAAAGAUCCCAGUGUACUUUUGUUUAUGAACAGCCCUUACUACAUGAAAUAUAUCAUAUUAACAUUUUGAGAUUCUUUGUUUAAUAAUUUCAUACAUAUGAUCCCUAAUAUUCCCUGAAUAUCACUUCUCCUACAGACAUUUCCUGAUACUUCAGUUAAAAUAUCCAAACUAAUACAUUUCUGACUAUCAAUUUAUAAGUUUAAUGUCCUAGAAGACACAUUAUUACCCUUCAUCUAAUUUUUAAUUAUAAACAUUCAAUACAAUGUGAGGGUGCUUUAACUGUUUAUUGACAAACAGCAAUUAAACACUUAAUUUUUUUUUCAAUUGCUAAUCAUGAAUUCCUGUAACAGGAAAAAUUAAUUGACACUGCACGCUUCAUAUGAAAUCAAACAUAAACUAUUAAAUUCAAAUUAUUAAUUAUAAUGUAUAACAGAGGUGUAUUUCUAGUUAGAAAUGUACAUAUCUCAUGCCUUCAUUGUUUAAUUUUUUUUCUUCUGUAGAAUUGAAAUCUGAAAACUGAUUAUAGAUAUUAGAGUGGGGGGGCCAUAUUCGCCCGGGACACAAUUUCGCCGUUUUAUGAUUUUGAGGUGUAAACACUUCAAAGGAUGGCUGAAAUGGAAGAAAUAUGCCGAUAAAUUGUACUUUUAUAACAAAUAUGAAUAUUUUUUAAACUUAAACAAAAUUACAGCACUUACUGCAAAAGAUCGAAAAACGGACAAAGAUUUUCGGUCAAUUUCCUGAAUGAAAAACAG
RNAcentral lists this long non-coding RNA (3428 nucleotides) under Mytilus galloprovincialis (Mediterranean mussel). The record is from RNAcentral. Lineage: Eukaryota; Metazoa; Mollusca; Bivalvia; Mytilida; Mytilidae.